GAUGAACGCUAGCGGCAGGCCUAAUACGUGCAAGUCGAACGCUCAGUAGCAAUACUGGGAGUGGCGCACGGGUGCGUAACGCGUACACAAUCUACCUCUAAGCGGGGGACACCUCCUGGAAACGGGGAUUAAUACCGCAUAAUAUGCCGAAGUCGCAUGACUUUGGUAUUAAAGCAGCAAUGCACUUAGAGAUGAGUGUGCGUCCCAUUAGGUAGUUGGUGAGGUAACGGCUCACCAAGCCUAUGAUGGGUAGCCGGUCUGAGAGGAUGGUCGGCCACACGGGCACUGAGACACGGGCCCGACUCCUACGGGAGGCAGCAGUAAGGAAUAUUGGUCAAUGGUGGAAACACUGAACCAGCC
Molecule: ribosomal RNA, 360 nt
Filed under: uncultured bacterium
Lineage: Bacteria
Description: bacterial SSU rRNA
Rfam family: Bacterial small subunit ribosomal RNA
Source: RNAcentral